GCCGCUUUAGCUCAGUUGGUAGAGCACGGCAUUCGUAAUGCCGGGGUCGUCAGUUCAAGUCUGACAAGCGGCACCA
RNAcentral lists this transfer RNA (76 nucleotides) under Rhodobiaceae bacterium. Its description in RNAcentral is "tRNA-Thr". It matches the Rfam family "tRNA". Rfam says of the family: Transfer RNA (tRNA) molecules are approximately 80 nucleotides in length. Their secondary structure includes four short double-helical elements and three loops (D, anti-codon, and T loops). Lineage: Bacteria; Pseudomonadati; Pseudomonadota; Alphaproteobacteria; Hyphomicrobiales; Rhodobiaceae. The record is from RNAcentral.